CAGUCGCCGCGGGAAUACGUAGGUGGCAAGCGUUGUCCGGAAUUAUUGGGCGUAAAGGGCUCGCAGGCGGUUUCUUAGGUCUGAUGUGAAAGCCCCCGGCUCAACCGGGGAGGGUCAUUGGAAACUGGGAAACUUGAGUGCAGAAGAGGAGAGUGGAAUUCCACGUGUAGCGGUGAAAUGCGUAGAGAUGUGGAGGAACACCAGUGGCGAAGGCGACUCUCUGGUCUGUAACUGACGCUGAGGAGCGAAAGCGUGGGGAGCGAACAGGAUUAGAUACCCCAGUAGUCCCUGUCUCUGAUAA
Molecule: ribosomal RNA, 301 nt
Filed under: uncultured bacterium
Lineage: Bacteria
Description: partial 16S ribosomal RNA
Rfam family: Bacterial small subunit ribosomal RNA
Source: RNAcentral